CACCAGAGAAAGGAGGUUAAACCUGUGAGGUUCUUGGUUUAAAAUGCAAUGUAGCCACUAAUGAGUUAUAGCUCAACAGUACUUAGUUAUUAGGUCUCAAACUCGAAUUUCAAUUGAAGCUAAUUGAAAAAAAAAAAAAAAUGCAAAGGAGACAUUCUGGCCCAACCAAAAAUGACCACUGAGAUCAACAAUACAAAAACCAUUAAUGCCACAAAUCAGACUACACUAUCUUCUGUAUAAUUCGUGAAA
Molecule: unclassified non-coding RNA, 249 nt
Filed under: Hevea brasiliensis (rubber tree)
Lineage: Eukaryota; Viridiplantae; Streptophyta; Magnoliopsida; Malpighiales; Euphorbiaceae
Source: RNAcentral